CCUACGGGAGGCAGCAGUGGGGAAUAUUGGACAAUGGGCGCAAGCCUGAUCCAGCAAUGCCGCGUGAGUGAUGAAGGCCUUAGGGUUGUAAAGCUCUUUCGGCGGGGACGAUGAUGACGGUACCCGCAGAAGAAGCCCCGGCUAACUUCGUGCCAGCAGCCGCGGUAAU
Molecule: ribosomal RNA, 169 nt
Filed under: uncultured bacterium
Lineage: Bacteria
Also listed under: 3 other names
Description: partial 16S ribosomal RNA
Rfam family: Bacterial small subunit ribosomal RNA
Source: RNAcentral